UAAUCUCACUCCAACUUUUGUUGAUGGAUGUGGACUUGGACCCUGCUGUGUUACUACAACUGGUCUUAAAUGUAUGAGUGCACCCUGCUGUUGCAGCGUCUUCAGUGUGAUAAGUAUCUUCACUGGAUAAAGUUCCUUUGGGACACGCAGGCAUUGUGGGCUCUGUGCUACCAACAGUCUUUGGACAACUUUGACA
RNAcentral lists this unclassified non-coding RNA (196 nucleotides) under uncultured Sebacinales. Its description in RNAcentral is "sequence contains ITS2". Lineage: Eukaryota; Fungi; Basidiomycota; Agaricomycetes; Sebacinales. The record is from RNAcentral.